CGCGUAGGUGGUUGUGUAUGUCAGAUGUGAAAUCCCAAGGCUCAACCUUAGAACUGCAUCUGAAACUGCAUGACUCGAGUACAGCAGAGGGAAACGGAAUUCCUGGUGUAGAGGUGAAAUUCGUAGAUAUCAGGAGGAACACCGGUGGCGAAGGCGGUUUCCUGGGCUGAUACUGACACUGAGGCGCGAAAGCGUGGGGAGCAAACA
Molecule: ribosomal RNA, 207 nt
Filed under: uncultured bacterium
Lineage: Bacteria
Description: partial 16S ribosomal RNA
Rfam family: Bacterial small subunit ribosomal RNA
Source: RNAcentral